This 516-nucleotide ribosomal RNA is filed under the name Domecia glabra. RNAcentral's name for it is "partial large subunit ribosomal RNA". It matches the Rfam family "Bacterial large subunit ribosomal RNA", at positions 1832 to 2597 of the family's 2925-position model. The record is from RNAcentral. Lineage: Eukaryota; Metazoa; Arthropoda; Malacostraca; Decapoda; Domeciidae.
GUCUAUCUGAAGAUAUAAAUAGUCAGGCCUGCUCACUGAAUAGUUUUUUAAGAGCCGCGGUAUACUGACCGUGCUAAGGUAGCAUAAUCAUUAGCUUUUUAAUUGGAAGCUGGAAUGAAGGGUUAGACAAAAAGAAACCUGUCUUAAUUUUAGUAUUAAAAUUUAAUCUUUAAGUGAAAAAGCUUAAAUAACUUAGGAAGACGAUAAGACCCUAUAAAGCUUUAUUUGAGUGAUUGUGCUAACUGAAUUAACAAUAAAAGCUUAAACAGACUCUUGAAUUAUAUUGGGGCGAUAAAAGCAUAAAUUAUCUAACUGCUUAUGGUUGACACAUAAAUAAAUGGAUUAAAUAUAACAGAUCCUCAUUAGAGAUUUAAAGAACAAGUUACUUUAGGGAUAACAGCGUUAUUUUUUUUAAGAGCCCAUAUCGAAAAAAAAGUUUGCGACCUCGAUGUUGAAUUAAAAGAUCUAUAUAAUGCAGAAGUUAUAUAAGAAGGUCUGUUCGACCUUUAAAUUUUU